This 301-nucleotide ribosomal RNA is filed under the name uncultured bacterium. RNAcentral describes it as "partial 16S ribosomal RNA". It matches the Rfam family "Bacterial small subunit ribosomal RNA", at positions 509 to 807 of the family's 1533-position model. The record is from RNAcentral.
CAGCAGCCGCGGUAAGACAGAGGAUGCAAGCGUUAUCCAGAAUGAUUGGGUGUAAAGCGUCUGUAGGUGGCUCUUCAAGCCCGCCGUCAAAUCCUAGGGCUCAACCCUGGACAGGCAGUGGAAACUACCAAGCUGGAGUACGGUAGGGGUAGAGGGUAUUUCCGGUGGAGUGGUAAAAUGCGUUGAGAUCGGAAAGAACACCAAUGGCGAAAGCACUCUGCUGGGCCGACACUGACACUGAGAGACGAAAGCUAGGGGAGCAAAUGGGAUUAGAUACCCCAGUAGUCCCUGUCUCUUAUAC